This 94-nucleotide non-coding RNA is filed under the name unclassified sequences. Its description in RNAcentral is "NiCo sequence". It matches the Rfam family "NiCo (Nickel/Cobalt) riboswitch aptamer". The record is from RNAcentral.
ACAGUACAAUCUGACAGGAGAUAGAUUUAAAAUCUAUUCCGGGCUGUAUACAGCAGCAGAUGAAUUUUGAAUUUCAAACAUCUGUGGGACAGAA